AGCCAACUGACAACAUCCUCUUCUUCUCCUUCUUUUAAUAUUGUGCUCUUACUGUAUCUCAAACACCUUCAUGAUUUAAAGACUUAAAUAAAGAAUCAAAGAGUACGUCACAUCGUUGGAUUCAUCUGCAUCUGGAAUAAACACGAGAAGAUGACUCACCAUCUUAAAUCAAGAUUCUGCUCAUGUUCCCGCCUCGUUUGUCAGCACCGCCUUAAUUAUUACACUCACCCGAGUCUUUUUAUCCCCGGGUUGUCUUUGUAUUGAAUCCCAGUUUGUGCUCCCUGUUGCCAGAUCGUAGCGUUUCCUUUGUCCUAGCAUUUUUGUCUAUAGCUUUAGUGUUUAUGAUCUCUGCCUGUUUUUUUCCCUUCUCCUCUGGAUUUGUUUGAAUUUCUGUGUACCAAACCUUGGACCGCAUUAAACGCCUUUCCUUUU
Molecule: long non-coding RNA, 432 nt
Organism: Labrus bergylta (ballan wrasse)
Lineage: Eukaryota; Metazoa; Chordata; Actinopteri; Labriformes; Labridae
Source: RefSeq, a predicted model, not a curated record